This is a transfer RNA of Myxococcus xanthus DK 1622, 73 nucleotides long. It matches the Rfam family "tRNA". Rfam says of the family: Transfer RNA (tRNA) molecules are approximately 80 nucleotides in length. Lineage: Bacteria; Pseudomonadati; Myxococcota; Myxococcia; Myxococcales; Myxococcaceae. The record is from Rfam.
GGGGCUAUAGCUCAGCUGGGAGAGCGCUUGAAUGGCAUUCAAGAGGUCAUCGGUUCGAUCCCGAUUAGCUCCA